UACGUAGGCAGCGAGCGUUGUUCGGAGUUACUGGGCGUAAAGGGUGUGUAGGCGGUUGUUUAAGUUUGGUGUGAAAUCUCCCGGCUCAACUGGGGGGGUGCGCCGAAUACUGAAUGACUUGGAGUGCGGGAGAGGUGAGUGGAAUUCCUGGUGUAGCGGUGAAAUGCGUAGAUAUCAGGAGGAACACCGGUGGUGUAGACGGCUCACUGGACCGUAACUGACGCUGAGACACGAAAGCGUGAGUAGCAAACAGG
RNAcentral lists this ribosomal RNA (254 nucleotides) under uncultured bacterium. RNAcentral's name for it is "partial 16S ribosomal RNA". It matches the Rfam family "Bacterial small subunit ribosomal RNA", at positions 524 to 776 of the family's 1533-position model. The record is from RNAcentral.